UUUGAAUGUGACAAGACAAAUGGGCUAGGUAUAUUAAAAUAAGGGAAAAGUUUGUGCAAAAACUCAAUGAAUGUUUAGUAAACCAUGCCUAGGUAUAAAAAGAGAAUGUUGGGCUUUCUGAUUAUGCUAUAUCAAGCCAAAAGUUUACUGGCUAAAAUCUGGUGGCCCUCAAAACCAGAGCAAAUAUUCAUAUAAAAGACGCAGUGGACAUCAGUCUCAAGAGCUUCCUACUUAAAAUAUCUGCUUCCAAAGACUACAUGAUUCAUAGUAAUUCUCAGGAGUAUUAUAUUUCAAUUUCAAUUUUUAGCUUUCUAUAUACUUACCACACCAUCUCAAGGCCAGAUCAAUAUUUUCUUGAACUUUUUCAUAUAUUAAUCUAUACACUAUCUCAGAUAUGUUUGUUUCUAGAUUGUCAGGGAUCUUUCCUAGAGAAUUCUGAGAUGUGUGAGAGGUUUAACAAGCAUAGAAAAUUGCUUAUUAAAAAUAAGCCAUAUUGUAAGUGGGAGGUAAAAGGAGAAAAGAAGCAAAAGUCCUCAUCUAAACUUUAUGUGCUGAUACUGAACAAGGUUAUUCCAAUGAUGUCUGGUUUGGGGUAGGAAAGCAACUUUUCUUAUACAUUAUGACACAAAGUUCAUCAAAUAUGGUUGUUACAGACUUUUGGAGAACACGUAAAUUUUUCUUAUUAAUUUCUACAUUGAAAAACUAUUGUUACCUUUAAACAAAACUAUCCAUUACAAUAAAUCUGAAAUAGUUUUUUAAUAUUGCAAAACAGAAAAUUGAUGGCAUUAUUCACCGAAUGCUAACAUUUUCCAAUAACACCUCACACCACAAUAUAUGUACCUUAUAUAGUUUAACACCUAUAAGAGUUCUUAACACAAUGGAUAGAUAAUUAAAGUAAAGAGUGAAAUGGGACUCAGAAACAACUUAUUAUAGUAAAAAUUAUUAUUACAUUAUUUCAAAUACUAGUCCACCCUUUUCCUUUUUUUCCCAAAAGUUAAUUUUUUAACCUUUGUUAUGAUAUUUCACUUUAUUUAAAUAACAUAAUAAAUAGUACUGUGUUUUCAUAUAUACUCUCUGAUGCAUCUCAAAUAUAUUUGCAUACCCCAAGACCUUAGGAGAUUUGUAUACACAUUAUUCACUAGAGAAGCAGUAGUUACUUCUGAAAUCUAUAUUGCUCUUUUCAAAUGAGGUCUUACAGUUUUUUAAAAAUAUCUGAAAUAAUUAUAGUGAACUUAUUUCUAAUUAGCAUAUAGUAAGUGCCUGAUAAAUAUUUGUGAAAAUGAAUGAAGAAAUAAUAAGAGCAUUUAUACAAUCUGUACAAUAUGGUAUGUGGUAUUUCAUGAUUUUAGCUACAACUUAUUGAAUAUUAUAACAAUCUUACUAUGCGAGUAAGAUGUGGGUUUGAUGAACCAAUAAUAAAUAAAAAUUGUAUGCUGCAUUGUUCCUAAUUCACCAAACAAUUUUUUUUCAAAAACAGACACUCUGAUGUGUGGUUUUUGUCAACUAUUAUAUUAUGAAUGAAUGAAGCUCAGUAAAUGAAAAAUUGGAACUACAUACUUGCUUAGGGUGCCUAUCAUUCAUUGUUAAAAAACCUUUAGCUAUAUAAAAUUUCAAUACUGUAUGUACUAUUGUGAUAUAGUGGAAUUUUGAUAAAAUGUAUAUUAAU
Molecule: long non-coding RNA, 1666 nt
Filed under: Marmota monax (woodchuck)
Lineage: Eukaryota; Metazoa; Chordata; Mammalia; Rodentia; Sciuridae
Source: RNAcentral